ACGGGUGAGUAACACGUGAGGAACCUGCCCCGAAGACCGGGAUAACACCGGGAAACCGGUGCUAAUACCGGAUGUCCUCAUCAGAUCGCAUGGUCUGAUGAGGAAAUGGAUUCCGCUUCGGGAUGGUCUCGCGGCCUAUCAGCUUGUUGGUGGGGUAACGGCCUACCAAGGCAACGACGGGUAGCUGGUCUGAGAGGAUGUCCAGCCACACUGGGACUGAGACACGGCCCAGACUCCUACGGGAGGCAGCAGUGGGGAAUCUUGCGCAAUGGGCGAAAGCCUGACGCAGCGACGCCGCGUGCGGGAUGAAGGCCUUCGGGUUGUAAACCGCUUUCAGCAGGGACGAUUGUGACGGUACCUGCAGAAGAAGCCCCGGCCAACUACGUGCCAGCAGCCGCGGUAAUACGUAGGGGGCGAGCGUUGUCCGGAUUUAUUGGGCGUAAAGAGCUCGUAGGCGGUUCGGUUAGUCGGGUGUGAAAUCUCCACGCUCAACGUGGAGGGGCCACUCGAUACUGCCGUGACUCGAGUCCGGUAGAGGAGUGUGGAAUUCCCGGUGUAGCGGUGAAAUGCGCAGA
RNAcentral lists this ribosomal RNA (575 nucleotides) under uncultured bacterium. RNAcentral describes it as "bacterial SSU rRNA". It matches the Rfam family "Bacterial small subunit ribosomal RNA", at positions 102 to 694 of the family's 1533-position model. The record is from RNAcentral.